Molecule: ribosomal RNA, 207 nt
Filed under: uncultured bacterium
Lineage: Bacteria
Description: partial 16S ribosomal RNA
Rfam family: Bacterial small subunit ribosomal RNA
Source: RNAcentral
CGUGCAGGUGGCUUCGUAAGUUGGACGUUAAAUCUCCCGGCCUAACCGGGAGGAGUCGUUCAAUACUGCGGGGCUGGAGGGCAGAAGAGGGGGGUGGAAUUGCUGGUGUAGUGGUGAAAUGCGUAGAUAUCAGCAGGAACACCCGUGGCGAAAGCGGCCCCCUGGUCUGCUCCUGACACUCAUACGCGAAAGCUAGGGGAGUGAACG